UGCUGAUGGCGGUACACGAACUGACUC
This 27-nucleotide non-coding RNA is filed under the name Bombyx mori (domestic silkworm). The record is from RNAcentral. Lineage: Eukaryota; Metazoa; Arthropoda; Insecta; Lepidoptera; Bombycidae.